RNAcentral lists this ribosomal RNA (864 nucleotides) under Chattonella subsalsa. RNAcentral's name for it is "partial large subunit ribosomal RNA". It matches the Rfam family "Eukaryotic large subunit ribosomal RNA", at positions 81 to 850 of the family's 3401-position model. Lineage: Eukaryota; Raphidophyceae; Chattonellales; Chattonellaceae. The record is from RNAcentral.
UAGUAACGGCGAGUGAAGCGGGAAGAGCUCAUGUUGUAAAUCUGGAUGAGGGUUCCUCGUCCCGAAUUGUAGUCUAGAGAUGCGUGCUCAGCUACUCUCCAGGGCUAAGUCUGUUUGUGAAAGACAGUGUCAUGGACGGUGAUAACCCGGUUCUUGCCUUGGAUGUUGUAGCGUUUUGAGCCGUCCUCAACGAGUCGAGUUGCUUGGGAUUGCAGCUCUAAGUGGGUGGUAAAUUCCAUCUAAAGCUAAAUAUUGGUGGGAGACCGAUAGCGAACAAGUACCGUGAGGGAAAGAUGAAAAGAACUUUGAAAAGAGAGUUAAAUAGUACCUGAAACUGCUGAAAGGGAAGCGAAUGAAGUCAGUGUUGCUCUUUGUGCUCUGCAUCCUCCCUGCGGGGAUUGUGUAUCGAGGACUUUGAGCUUGUCAGGAUGAGUUCUCUGCCGCGGGAUAUGUUUUGUAUGCUGGAUGCUUUUUGCGGAACAUACAUUCUCUGUCGUGGCUUGGACUGAGGUUCCAUCUUGCCGUUGCCUGUGCGUUCCUCUCCCGUUGCUGUCUCUGUUCUACUGCUUGCAGUGCUCAGUUGCAGUAGUUGGACUGUGCGUAUUAUGCAUGCAAGGUCAGGAUCCUGACGAAAUGGCUUUAUUUACCCCGUCUUGAAACACGGACCAAGGAGUCUAACAUACGUGCGAGUACUUUGGUGACAAACCAAUGUGCGCAAUGAAAGUAAAGGCUGGCUUCCGUCAGCUCAGGUGGGAUCCGUUUGGAGCACCAUCGACCGACCAUUAUGCCUUCGGGCUAAAGGUUUGAGUGUGAGCAUUUAUGUUGGGACCCGAAAGAUGGUGAACUAUGCCUGAAUAGGGCGAA